Molecule: long non-coding RNA, 764 nt
Filed under: Mytilus galloprovincialis (Mediterranean mussel)
Lineage: Eukaryota; Metazoa; Mollusca; Bivalvia; Mytilida; Mytilidae
Source: RNAcentral
AUUGGUAAUCUAAUCAUUUUUGCACCGAUCAAGAUAUUUAGUUUGUUUUAAUUACCCAGUAAAUAAGUUGAGUAAUUCUCAAAAAAUAAUUUGUACAUGCAUGUUUUAAUAUUUUUAUAUUAUAGCUUUUACCACAGUUUUACUUUGUAUAAGAAUUGUAUUGUUUUUGGAUGUCAUUUUUAAAAGUUGAGACAAACUGAGGAUUUCUUUUUUAUGGAAUUCUAUUAUUUAUUUAUAAGUUAAGGACUAGAAAGCCUUAAGUUUAUAUAUUAAACAAAGAAUAGUCACUAAAUGAUUACAAAAUUUAUUACAUGUAUCAAAAAAUUUACAUGAUUUUAUUUUAAUUCAUAAACUUUUAUACGUAAUUAUAUAGACUAAGAAAUUACAUUAGGAUUAUUUCCCCCUAUAAUAAAAACAACCAGGAAAAUAGAUAGUAUCCUCAGUACUGUCAUUUAUUUUGCAUUAUUGUAAUAUUUUGCUACUGAUACCAAACCCAUGAUGCAGAUCCUUUUCCUCCUUUUUAUUUAAAGAUAAUUUACAACCGUGAUCAAAAGCAUAUCACAAGUAACUGUUUGUUUGAUAUUUACACACAUCUUAAAAGAAGCAGAUUGUGUUUGGUUUCAUUUGGUUAUUUUGUAUCAUGUAGGAUCAUAAUAAUUGGUAAUUAAAAUUUAUUUGGAAAAUCAUCUUAUCUUAAUUGUAUCUGGAUGACAAGUAAAGGGGGAAGAGGUUUCUGUGGUCGAGGGUAUGACACAUGCAGAUGC